Molecule: ribosomal RNA, 500 nt
Filed under: Coloceras laticlypeatus
Lineage: Eukaryota; Metazoa; Arthropoda; Insecta; Psocodea; Philopteridae
Description: partial 16S ribosomal RNA
Rfam family: Bacterial large subunit ribosomal RNA
Source: RNAcentral
UCCUCAUUUUAUUAUUUGAGGUAGGGCCUGCUCAAUGCGAAAGGUAAAUAGCCGCAGUAUUCUGACUGUGCGAAGGUAGCAUAAUAAAUUGGCUCUUAAUUUGAGUCUGGAAUGAAUGGUUUGACAAGAAUUUGACUGUCUUAAAAUGAAAGUCUUUGAAAUUGAAUUGUCUGUAAAAAUGCAGAUAUAUAAGAGAGGGACGAGAAGACCCUAUAGAUCUUGAAUAGAUUAUUAAGAAAAAAUUAGUAAUUUUUUUUAUUUGGGGAAAAUCCUGAAAUAUAAUUAAACUUCGGUUAAUUUGAAAAAUUUAAAAAAUUGAUUUUUGAUCCAUUAAAUUUAUAAGUUUAUUAAUGAAAAAGUGAAAAAGUUACCUUAGGGAUAACAGGACAAUGAUCUUUUUGAAGGUCUUAUUCAAAAGGACGUUUGUUACCUCGAUGUUGAAUUAAGUUAUCUAAUUAAAGAAGAAAUUUUUAUAGUUGGUCUGUUCGACCAUUAAAAAC